UUGACAGCCCUGGGAGACUGAAAGCCCUCUGUUUAUCCCCAGUACACAUACAGCACAACUAGUGGAAAAAGCAACUUUCCCUGAGCUACCCUGCCGGUGUGUUUCAGCCCCGAUGCAGAGGACCGGGGGGAAACCUCCAGAGGUUAUUGUGGUGGUCCAGCCUCUGCGGUCCUUUGUCUUUGCCAAAG
RNAcentral lists this small RNA (188 nucleotides) under Calidris pygmaea (Spoon-billed sandpiper). RNAcentral describes it as "TUC338 (ENSCPGG00000002109.1)". The record is from RNAcentral. Lineage: Eukaryota; Metazoa; Chordata; Aves; Charadriiformes; Scolopacidae.